UUGACCUCGGAUCAGGUAGGAAUACCCGCUGAACUUAAGCAUAUCAAUAAGCGGAGGAAAAGAAACCAACAGGGAUUGCCCCAGUAACGGCGAGUGAAGCGGCAACAGCUCAAAUUUGAAAUCUGGCCUUCUGGUCCGAGUUGUAAUUUGUAGAAGAUGCUUUUGGUGCGGUGCCUUCCGAGUUCCCUGGAACGGGACGCCUUAGAGGGUGAGAGCCCCGUACGGUUGGACGCCUAGCCUCUGUAAAGCUCUUUCAACGAGUCGAGUAGUUUGGGAAUGCUGCUCAAAAUGGGAGGUAAAUUUCUUCUAAAGCUAAAUAUUGGCCAGAGACCGAUAGCGCACAAGUAGAGUGAUCGAAAGAUGAAAAGCACUUUGAAAAGAGGGUUAAAUAGCACGUGAAAUUGUUGAAAGGGAAGGACUUAUGACCAGACUUUUUCCUCGCGAAUCAUCCGGUGUUCUCACCGGUGCACUUCUCUUGGUUUAGGCCAGCAUCGGUUUCUGUAGGGGGAUAAAAACUUUAGGAAUGUGGCUCCCCCG
Molecule: ribosomal RNA, 537 nt
Filed under: salal root associated fungus UBCTRA 1542.5
Lineage: Eukaryota; Fungi; Ascomycota
Description: eukaryotic LSU rRNA
Rfam family: Eukaryotic large subunit ribosomal RNA
Source: RNAcentral